Molecule: ribosomal RNA, 253 nt
Filed under: uncultured bacterium
Lineage: Bacteria
Description: partial 16S ribosomal RNA
Rfam family: Bacterial small subunit ribosomal RNA
Source: RNAcentral
UACGUAGGUGGCAAGCGUUGUUCGGAAUUACUGGGCGUAAAGGGCGCGUAGGCGGCCUUCUAAGUCAGACGUGAAAUCCCCAGGCUUAACCUGGGAACUGCAUCCGAUACUGGAUGGCUUGAAUCCGGGAGAGGGAUGCAGAAUUCCAGGUGUAGCGGUGAAAUGCGUAGAUAUCUGGAGGAACACCGGUGGCGAAGGCGGCAUCCUGGACCGGCAUUGACGCUGAGGAGCGAAAGCCAGGGGAGCAAACGGG